Molecule: ribosomal RNA, 468 nt
Filed under: uncultured bacterium
Lineage: Bacteria
Description: partial 16S ribosomal RNA
Rfam family: Bacterial small subunit ribosomal RNA
Source: RNAcentral
GACGAACGCUGGCGGCGUGCUUAACACAUGCAAGUCGAACGGAAAGGCCCUGCGUUUGUGGGGUUCUCGAGUGGCGAACGGGUGAGUAACACGUGAGUAACCUGCCCUUGACUUUGGGAUAACUUCAGGAAACUGGGGCUAAUACCGGAUAGGAGCUCCUGCUGCAUGGUGGGGGUUGGAAAGUUUCGGCGGUUGGGGAUGGACUCGCGGCUUAUCAGCUUGUUGGUGGGGUAGUGGCUUACCAAGGCUUUGACGGGUAGCCGGCCUGAGAGGGUGAACGGCCACCUUGGGACUGCGAUACGGCCCAGACUCCUACGGGAGGCAGCAGUGGGGAAUAUUGCACAAUGGGCGGAAGCCUGAUGCAGCAACGCCGCGUGCGGGAUGACGGCCUUCGGGUUGUAAACCGCUUUCGCCUGUGACGAAGCGGGAGUGACGGUAAUGGGUAAAGAAGCACCGGCUAACUACGUG